Cervus elaphus (red deer) is the source of this 560-nucleotide long non-coding RNA. RefSeq lists it as uncharacterized. NCBI's taxonomy places the organism in Eukaryota, Metazoa, Chordata, Mammalia, Artiodactyla, Cervidae. The transcript is spliced from 4 exons. The record is from RefSeq and is a predicted model, not a curated record.
GCUUGAGCUCAGACAUCCACCUUUUCCUGCCCUUGGAUGUGGAUUCCCUGUUUUCAUGCCUUUGCACUUGGACUGAACAGCUUUCCUGGUCCUCCAGCUUGCAGACUGCAGAUCUUGGGACUUUGUUGCCUCCAUAAUCACCUGGAAAAACAGUCAGCAGGAUAAACUUCACUAGCUGAAUGCUGUUUGCCUUGAGUCUACCGCAGCUGAUAAACCUGGGACUUCUGAGGAGCCCUGGCUGAAGGACUGAAUUUUUGGUUAAAGCAUGGAACCAUGGAACAAUCCAUGGAACAAAGAAGCAUGGACCAGUCAGUAAUUCAGCUACUAGCCUAAUUCUUGCUUCACAGCUACCAGCUCAACUUGGGACACCUAUUACAUCCCUGGUCCGGAAAGAUCCCACACACUGCAGGGCAACUAGGCCCCCGCCACCACCAUGGAGCCCACACGCCACAACUGUGGAAGACUAUGCUCUGCAAUAAGAGAAGCCACUGCAGUGAGAAGCCCAUGCACCACAAUCUGACGGCUGACCGUGCUGAGAAAGCCCACAUGCAGCAACGAAG